This 484-nucleotide ribosomal RNA is filed under the name uncultured bacterium. RNAcentral's name for it is "partial 16S ribosomal RNA". It matches the Rfam family "Bacterial small subunit ribosomal RNA", at positions 28 to 523 of the family's 1533-position model. The record is from RNAcentral.
GACGAACGCUGGCGGCGUGCUUAACACAUGCAAGUCGAACGAUGAAGCCGGAGCUUGCUCUGGUGAAUUAGUGGCGAACGGGUGAGUAACACGUGGGUAACCUGCCCUUGACUCUGGGAUAACUGCGGGAAACUGUAGCUAAUACCGGAUACGACCCUCGGAGGCAUCUCCUGGGGGUGGAAAGAAUUUCGGUCAAGGAUGGACUCGCGGCCUAUCAGCUAGUUGGUGAGGUAAAGGCUCACCAAGGCGACGACGGGUAGCCGGCCAGAGAGGGGGACCGGCCACACUGGGACUGAGACACGGCCCAGACUCCUACGGGAGGCAGCAGUGGGGAAUAUUGCACAAUGGGCGCAAGCCUGGUGCAGCAACGCCGCGUGAGGGAUGACGGCCUUCGGGUUGUAAACCUCUUUUAGCAGGGAAGAAGCGAAAGUGACGGUUCCUGCAGAAAAAGCACCGGCUAACUACGUGCCAGCCGCCGCCGUAA